RNAcentral lists this ribosomal RNA (758 nucleotides) under uncultured bacterium. Its description in RNAcentral is "bacterial SSU rRNA". It matches the Rfam family "Bacterial small subunit ribosomal RNA", at positions 64 to 830 of the family's 1533-position model. The record is from RNAcentral.
GUACGGUGAAGAGAUUUCGGUCAAUCAUGUGCAUCUUUAGUGGCGGACGGGUGAGUAACGCGUGGGUAACCUGCCUUACACAGGGGGAUAACACUUAGAAAUAGGUGCUAAUACCGCAUGAGCGCACAGGACCGCAUGGUCGAGUGUGAAAAACUGAGGUGGUGUAAGAUGGACCCGCGUCUGAUUAGCUGGUUGGUGAGGUAACGGCCCACCAAGGCGACGAUCAGUAGCCGGCCUGAGAGGGUGGACGGCCACAUUGGGACUGAGACACGGCCCAAACUCCUACGGGAGGCAGCAGUGGGGGAUAUUGGACAAUGGGGGGAACCCUGAUCCAGCGACGCCGCGUGAGUGAAGAAGUAUCUCGGUAUGUAAAGCUCUAUCAGCAGGGAAGAAGAAAUGACGGUACCUGAGUAAGAAGCCCCGGCUAACUACGUGCCAGCAGCCGCGGUAAUACGUAGGGGGCAAGCGUUAUCCGGAAUUACUGGGUGUAAAGGGAGCGUAGACGGUGAUGUAAGUCUGGAGUGAAAGGCGGGGGCCCAACCCCCGGACUGCUCUGGAAACUAUGUGACUGGAGUGCAGGAGAGGUGAGCGGAAUUCCUAGUGUAGCGGUGAAAUGCGUAGAUAUUAGGAGGAACACCAGUGGCGAAGGCGGCUCACUGGACUGUAACUGACGUUGAAGCUCGAAAGCGUGGGGAGCAAACAGGAUUAGAUACCCUGGUAGUCCACGCUGUAAACGAUGGAUGCUAGGUGUUGGGCUU